UUACGGACAUAUCUCGUUGAAUCAGCGGUUCUCGCAAGAUCACCGAAGUUAAGCAACGUCGAGCCUGGUCAGUACCCAAAUGGGUGACCGUUUGAGAAUAC
This is a non-coding RNA of Acanthosepion pharaonis, 101 nucleotides long. The record is from the annotation of a GenBank genome assembly. NCBI's taxonomy places the organism in Eukaryota, Metazoa, Mollusca, Cephalopoda, Sepiida, Sepiidae.